GGAGCUAACGUUAGCUAGCUCGAGCUCAAGUUAGCUAGCUAACAGCAUAGCAAGUUAAGUUAACAUAAAUAAAGUCAAUCACAGAUUACAGUGUUAAGAUGUAACGUUAGUAACCUAACUUGUGUUUACUUGUGCUCUUAUUGAACCGUUGGAAUGCAAACGGGACGAUUAUCAAAAGGGAGAGCGGACCAGAAAUCACCGACGUGUUCAAGACGAUGAACAGUUGAGUCACUCAUCAUCAGAGAUUGAGGAUGCCAGCCAGACGCUGCAGUCAAGUCCUCUUUCAAGAUGUUCUCUUUCUUUAUUGUUUUCAUUCAUGUGUGAGUUCAUGCUGUUCAAAAUAACUAUAAAUGUGUAUAAGACUUGUCAACAAGCUAGACUGUGAAGCAGUUAUAUUACACUGUUCUUGAUGCUAUUUUAAUUCUGUGUUACACUGUUGAUGCUAAUGAGUUCAGUUAUGCUGUUCAUUAGCGAUUUUAUUGGUUUAUUAGUUUGCUUCUAAACAUGCAGUACAUUGUGACUUUUGUGAUGUAAUACAAAUGUCCAUUUAUUAUUUGAGAACAUAUAACACAUAAACUGCAACAAUUAUG
Molecule: long non-coding RNA, 590 nt
Organism: Anarrhichthys ocellatus (wolf-eel)
Lineage: Eukaryota; Metazoa; Chordata; Actinopteri; Perciformes; Anarhichadidae
Exons: 2
Source: RefSeq, a predicted model, not a curated record